Cercocebus atys (sooty mangabey) is the source of this 546-nucleotide long non-coding RNA. RefSeq lists it as uncharacterized. NCBI's taxonomy places the organism in Eukaryota, Metazoa, Chordata, Mammalia, Primates, Cercopithecidae. The transcript is spliced from 2 exons. The record is from RefSeq and is a predicted model, not a curated record.
GAGAGGUGACCUGCCGGGCGCCGAUUGGCGGAGGGCGAGUGACGUACGCUCGCGGCGGACUGCCGAGCCGCGGGAACCGGCGGGUAGCUAGGCCCUCCUUGGAAUCUUGUAUGAAGGUGGCCACCCUGUUGGGCCUUUAACGUCUGUAGAUGCUGGAGACCCGCAGAAAGGAUACUGUGUACGAUGAGUUAAGCAUGUGAGAGUGCUUUCUAACCGGAAAGUGCCUUUCAAAAAGAUGCCAAACCUAUUUCUUGUGAAAAUUGAGCAAGGAAAUACCAGGAUCCACAAGCAGUGGAACACGUCCCAAGAGUUCAGCACACGUGUCUCUGACCAGAAAAACAUCACAAAGAACCAUUAUACAAGAAGCCUUAAACUACGUCUGGUGGUAGAACAAAAUUUAAAAUCCCAAAUAUAACCUUGUUACUAUAAUAACAAUACUUUUAAGUCUGAAUUUCAGAUUCAUCUUAUAAUCAGCAUUUUGAGCUGUAUGAUACACACUAUUUUAAUAAAAUAGCCACUACUAUUUUCAGUUGCUUACUAUAUGCC